UUGACAGUUAAAAAGUAUUCUAUAACAUCUACAAGUACAGGUUCAAGGUUUUUUGUCAUCAAGGUAAUCAUGAAUUUUUGCUUCCUUGCAUGUGAGUCCAUGUACAAGCUAGCAAAACUCAAUUUGAUAAUGACAGCAGAGUGAUUUCCAGGAAUGGGAGGCAAUGCUUUCUCUGCCCUCUGUAUCUUGCCUGCUCUCCUUCUUGUACUUAAUAUAACUUCAUGGUGGGAUGGGAAGCAUGUAGCAGGCUUCAAGAGAUUAAAUAAACAUGCUGCACAUGGCCUUAUGAUGACAUUUCAUGUUUUCUACAUUACAGAUAUCACAAAACCAUAAACUAAUUGAGGGCAGAGUGAGCUUCUGGAGAUCACUGUUCAACCAUCCCUCCUGAAGCAUCAGUUAGAGAAGGUUGCCCAGGACUGUAUCACUGGAUUUUGAAUAUCCCCAAGAAUAAACUCCAUAGCCUCUCUGAACUACCUGUCUCAUCUCUCAUCCUCUCACUGGGUACCACUGAGAAGAGCCUGGCUGCAUCAUUUUUGCAUCUUCCCAUCAGUGCUGUGACACCUGGAAACUGUCUGAAGGAAAACAAUUCUGAUACUUGUGCAGCAUUUGGUGUCUAUUGUAAACACGAGUACAGCACAAAGGUCGACCAAUUUGCACCCAGUAGCAUCUGAUAAGCAUCUCCUAAAUCAGAGCAAUGCACCUGCCAAGUGCUACAGGAGUAAGAUGGUAAACCUGCCUAAAGAAAUCUGUACAGGACAGAUGGAAUCUUUAACUUAUCUGCAGUUGCUCCACUGGCUAGUCUUGUACUAUCUGCUAAUGUCUGUCCUAACCAGAAAUAUGCUGAUUUCCAGCCACACCUUUAAUACAAAAUGUCUUAAGUGUAUAAAAAUCAAGCUUCCAUUUUUAACAUUUUACUCCUGCUGCUUGGGAUCCUUAGACCUCAACUAGCGUUGAGUCUGAUUAUAUGCAGGGUGAGUCCCAAAAUACAGCUAAAUCCAGAGGCAUUUCUGUAAUCUGGUUCAGCAUAAGAGCUUGAUGGUAAGCUUUCCUAGUUUGGUUUGUUCUUUUUCCCCCCCCAUACCUUGUAAGCCAUGCUGGUACACAUGCACUCACUUAAUAAAAGUUAGCAACAAAGUUCUGUGUUAAAGCAUGAGUUACAGUCAUGAGUCAUCUUGCUUCUGUGUUCCAGAAAGCAGCCUUCCUAGUAUAGACAGAGAAAUGUUUUAAGUGCUGUGUGUUACACAAAACAAGGAUUGGCUUUUUUUUCUGACCAGGGGUAAGGAUUGUACAAUUUGGUUUUGCACAGAAUAAUGUUGCCUAGAAAGGAUAUUUCUUAACAGGCAAAAUUAAUGUAUUUAUAUGGCAGCCACAUGUAUUAACAGAAUAAACUUUCCUUCAGGGCUACUUGAAUGAAAUGUGAAAUUCUAAAGACAGGUUCUUUGGAGCAUGAUAUCUCAAGAGUUGAGCAAAUGAGCCAUUUUAGUUACUAUCUAUUUCACCGAAGUUACUCCAAAAUGCUUAGCAAACUGGGCUUAAAUUGUUCUCCCCACAUUUCAACUGUAGUUAAAUUAUAACAUUCUUUAUAAUACUUUGAAUUACUGUUGGCGUCCCAGUUCAGUAUGCAGAGAAGACAAUCAGGUUGUAAUCACUAUUAUACUCCAAAGGUU
Non-coding RNA from Meleagris gallopavo (turkey), 1667 nucleotides. NCBI's taxonomy places the organism in Eukaryota, Metazoa, Chordata, Aves, Galliformes, Phasianidae. The record is from RefSeq and is a predicted model, not a curated record.